AGCCCAGACCCACAGCUAAGGUCCCCAAGUAUAGUUAAGUGGAAAAGGAUGUGGAAUUGCACAGACAACCAGGAUGUUGGCUUAGAAGCAGCCACUCAUUAAAAGAGUGCGUAAUAGCUCACUGGUCGAGUGACUCUGCGCCGAAAAUUUAACGGGGCUAAACUAUACACCGAAGCUUGGGAUACAUCUAAUGUAUGGUAGGAGAGCGUUCUGUAUGGGGUGAAGUCGUAGCGAAAGCGGCGGUGGACUGUACAGAAGUGAGAAUGCCGGAAUAAGUAGCGAGAAUUAAGUGAGAAUCUUAAUGGCCGAAAGUCUAAGGUUUUUGGAGGAAGGUUCGUCCGCUCCAAGUAAGUCGGGAGCUAAGGUCAGGCCGAAAGGCGUAGCCGAUGCACAUACGGUUGAUAUUCCGUAACCAUCUGUAAUUUAAGCAAAGGGACACUUCAAAAGGGUGUGACCCGGGCGUUGGUUGACCCGGGCGUAAGGGACCGAAAUUAGAGUAGGGAAGCACACUUAGCUGAAGGCGAGAAAAGCUUUGCGUAUAGAAGCAGAUGCCCGUACCGCAAACCGACACAGGUGGACAGGAAGAGAAUUCUAAGGCCAGCGGGAGAAGGGUAGUUAAGGAACUCGGCAAAUUGACUCCGUAACUUCGGAAUAAGGAGUGCUCGAAAGAGCCGCAGAGAAUAGGCCCAGGCGACUGUUUAGCAAAAACACAGGUCUCUGCCAAAUCGAAAGAUGAAGUAUAGGGGCUGACACCUGCCCGGUGCCGGAAGGUUAAGAGGAGGAGUGAGAGCUCCGAAUUGAAGCCCCGGUAAACGGCGGCCGUAACUAUAACGGUCCUAAGGUAGCGAAAUUCCUUGUCGGGUAAGUUCCGACCCGCACGAAUGGUGUAACGAUCUGGGCACUGUCUCAACUACCCACCCGGCGAAAUUGUAGUACCGGUGAAGAUGCCGGUUACCUGCGGCAAGACGGAAAGACCCCAUGGAGCUUUACUGUAGCCUGAUAUUGGGUUUCGGAAAUCUAUGUACAGGAUAGGCGGGAGACUGGGAAACAUGAGCGUCAGCUUGUGUGGAGUCGAUGUUGGGAUACCGCCCUUAGGUUUCUGGAAUUCUAACCUGCGGCCGUGAAUCCGGUCGGGGGACAUUGUCAGGUGGGCAGUUUGACUGGGGCGGUCGCCUCCGAAAAGGUAACGGAGGCGCUCAAAGGUUAGCUCAGCACGGACGGAAACCGUGCCUCUGAGUGUAAACGCAAAAGCUAGCCUAACUGCGAGGGUGACGGCCCGAGCAGUAACGAAAGUUGGAGUUAGUGAUCCGGCGGUAUGUGAAUGGAAAUGCCGUCGCUCAACGGAUAAAAGCUACCCUGGGGAUAACAGGCUGAUCUCCCCCAAGAGUCCACAUCGACGGGGAGGUUUGGCACCUCGAUGUCGGCUCAUCACAUCCUGGGGCUGUAUUCGGUCCCAAGGGUUCGGCUGUUCGCCGAUUAAAGUGGUACGCGAGCUGGGUUCAGAACGUCGCGAGACAGUUCGGUCCCUAUCUGUCGUGGGCGCAGGAUAUUUGAGGAGCUCUGUCCUUAGUACGAGAGGACCGGGAUGGACGUACCUCUGGUGCACCAGUUGUCAUGCCAAUGGCACGGCUGGGCAGCUAUGUACGGAACGGAUAAACGCUGAAAGCAUCUAAGCGUGAAGCCGACUCCAAGAUUAGAUAUCCCAUCGUAUAACGAGUAAGACCCCUUGAAGACUACGAGGUUGAUAGGCUGCGUGUGUAAGUGCCGUGAGGCAUUCAGCUUGGCAGUACUAAUAGGUCGAGGGCUUGACCA
RNAcentral lists this ribosomal RNA (1812 nucleotides) under gut metagenome. RNAcentral's name for it is "bacterial LSU rRNA". It matches the Rfam family "Bacterial large subunit ribosomal RNA", at positions 1024 to 2925 of the family's 2925-position model. The record is from RNAcentral.